UGGGGAAUAUUGCACAAUGGAGGGAACUCUGCUGCAGCAACGCCGCGUGCGGGAUGACGGCCUUCGGGUUGUAAACCGCUUUCAGCCAUGACGAAGCUUUUGUGACGGUAGUGGUAGAAGAAGCACCGGCUAACUACGUGCCAGCAGCCGCGGUGAUACGUAGGGUGCGAGCGUUGUCCGGAAUUAUUGGGCGUAAAGAGCUUGUAGGCGGUUUGUCGCGUCGAUAGUGUAAACACGCAGCUUAACUGUGUGCCUGCUGUCGAUACGGGCUGACUAGAGGAGGGUAGGGGAGAAUGGAAUUCCCGGUGGAGCGGUGGAAUGCGCAGAUAUCGGGAGGAACACCAGUGGCGAAGGCGGUUCUCUGGACCUUUCCUGACGCUGAGAAGCGAAAGCGUGGGUAGCAAACAGG
RNAcentral lists this ribosomal RNA (409 nucleotides) under Fusobacteriota bacterium. Its description in RNAcentral is "Fusobacteria bacterium partial 16S ribosomal RNA". It matches the Rfam family "Bacterial small subunit ribosomal RNA", at positions 355 to 776 of the family's 1533-position model. Lineage: Bacteria; Fusobacteriati; Fusobacteriota. The record is from RNAcentral.